This 448-nucleotide long non-coding RNA is filed under the name Marmota monax (woodchuck). Lineage: Eukaryota; Metazoa; Chordata; Mammalia; Rodentia; Sciuridae. The record is from RNAcentral.
CUCUUCCCUUCCUCCAUACUACUUGUAGUCUCCAUCCACAGGUCCUGAUUUUCAUUUCUCUUUCCAGUCAAGAAUCUCCAGACAGUCCCAUCAUUGCAGGCAGAAACUACAGGAAGAGAUGAGCAGUUAUUAGAGAAGAUGGCCCUUAAGAUAACUCUUUGAGAAAUGGACAAAAAAUUUAUAUGUGAGACCUACUGUUUUGGGGACCUGGAUCCACAGAAUACAAUUCUGAAAAUCCAUAGCAGCUGCAAGUGGCGAGCAAGGUCCUGAGCAUUCCAAGGAUUGCAGGUGGAUUGGGCAAGUAAUAUGUUUUGAAUACAAAUGGUUUGUUUUAAAAAUGUAUACUGAUUCUAUUGUGUUUAGUACAACUUAAUUUAUCAUCAAAACUGAAUCAUGGUGGCUUUUUACUAUGCUUUCUUCAAUUAAUAGCUACUGAAAAUAAAGAAAC